Molecule: long non-coding RNA, 737 nt
Organism: Triticum dicoccoides
Lineage: Eukaryota; Viridiplantae; Streptophyta; Magnoliopsida; Poales; Poaceae
Exons: 4
Source: RefSeq, a predicted model, not a curated record
CAAGCAGGAAAAAAAAGAACCCAAUCUCUUAUCUCCCCACCACCUCUCUCCCCGAUUCACAUCUCCCACCCGAGCUCCACCACAACGCCGCUGCCGCCGCCGCCUCUGAUUCGAGGAAACUCCGGUGCUCCCCUUCACCACGCCUCACCAGCUCGUCCCCCCUCUUGUUCUCCUCUGGCCCCGCCACCAACCCCCACCGCCACGACGUCCUCCACGCCUCUGCACGGCGCGACGGUUCAUUGUUGUAGCUCAUGUGCUCGGCCCAGCAAUCCCACUUCCACACGCGAUCGGCUACCGGCUAGGCUCGAUGGCGCUGUUCCACCUUGGCUACCUCGACUCCGAUGUGACGGUUCAUGCCAAAAUUUCUUACAUAUUCAUCUUUGGGAGAAAGAUCAAGGCAUAUAGUGGGCUACUUCUGCAAAAGGAGGGAAGCAACAUAUUGCAUUUAAAGUGAAGCUUCCUCUAUGAUAUGGAGAUGCAAUCAUCCAUCUAAAGACAAGAUUGCCAAGAUAAAUCGAUGAUGCAUGGCUCAGAAGUUGAUUACAAGAUCGAGAAGGUGGCUACUACUAGAUAGUUUCAGAUUAUGUUUUGGAAUGUAAUUUUUAGGGUCAAUGUUUCAAACACUAUGUGUUUAGAUGGCUGAGUCGUUCAGUGCAAGGUUGAGAAUCAGACUAUUACUAGAUAGUUUCACAUAUUGUAAUCUGUGUAUCAUGUUCUUUGUAAAGCAAUCAAGUUGA